UUGGUUAUCAGUUUAAAUAAUUUCCCUGCUUGUUUCCCUCCUCCUGUUUUGAAUUAUCCUGUAGACUGGAGAGGUUGAAUACAGCAAUCAGGCUUUUUUGUAUCCAGCUGACACGUGGGACUGGUUCGCUCACUGCUACAUGCUGGUUCUGAGAGAAGGGAGCCUUCCUUGCCAGGGAGCCGCUGGGCACGACGUAUCCAGGUCUUACGCUAGGUUCAUACCUAGGUUCAAAGAGAUUGGGUUCCUGCCGCAGGGGACUGACACAAACAGCAAAGAUCAAGGAAGGGCUGCAGCAAAAACAGCCUGCUCCUUGAUGCCGAGUGGGACCACCUGUUCUUCACUCUUGGGCAGAGUGACUGGAUUUGGUGGAGUCGGGCUGGGUUUGAGAGGCCGCUGGGCUAGAUUGAAGAUGAGUUUGCUAGUUCUGGAGAGUGGUGAGCUGCCACGGUGCUCCGAGGAGUUUGCAGAGAGUCUGCCCCUGUGUCAGAUGUUCCCUCCAUAUCCCCAUCGCCCUGUCAGCUGAAUCUCUGAUUGCCACUGAAGGCAGACAGCAGCCUCUGGAGCACCGGAGGGGGUUUGAAGGUGAAAAAUCUCCAAAGACAGCAUCUGAAAGUUGUGCUCCUAGCUGCACAGCCUUUGAGGUCUGCGGCGGAGACAGCGCGGGAGCAAAUCCAUCUUGGAAGCUGCUUUUUCUCUCUCCUGCCUGCUCCCCUUUUCUCUCUCGCAGUCCUUUUGCUCCAAUCUCCCUCAUCAGACUUUAAUGACAUUCCCAGUUACUGCCACUAAUGAAGGGCCACGGCUUUCACUAACAGGCCAACUGAGAUGGAUUCUUCAUGAUUGACUAGAUAGCCCAAGAGGGGCUGUGUGACAGCUCUCCUCCCCGGGGCUUUGAACAAAUGCUCUCGUCUCUAAUCGAGUUCCUUCCAGGAUUAAUGAAGCCCUGAGAUCACUUUUAUCUCCCGGAACAAGACGGGGCAGCUUCCAGAAUCAAAGUCCCUCAGUAAGCAAGGGAACGGCUGGUUCGGCACAGCAGCAUUUUUAGGAGAGCACAGAGCUGGGGCCGGGGAAGUAAAAAUAGAGGUGUGUGGAGUGGUGGAGGAGGGGGUAGACGAGUGCCUGUUAUAAUGCCACACUAUGGCAAUCGGCAGGUCUCCUUUACACACCCAGGCCUUAUCUUUUACACCUGCACUGUUUCCCUUGGGUUUUGCACCCAGUUCUGUGGAGUGGCUUCAAUGGGAUCUUUAUUUUCCCUUCCAGUGUUGCCCUCCAUCAGGAAAUGACUGUUUUGCCAAAGAUGAAGCAGGGCAGAAUGGACAAGAUGGAUCCAUUUCUGUCCUGGCCAGCAGGGCUACGGCUGGGUGAUAUGAUUAAAGUGAGGACAAAUCAUCCUUCACUCUGGUCAACACAGUAUGUCUGCCCAGGAACAACUGGAGACCAGAGGUGCAUGGUGCUGGAGGGAGACUUAGGUUCAUCUCUCUCUCCAUUUGGUUUCUUACUUCUGCCUCCUCACCACCCAUCAACCCCACCAUGGGGUGAGAGCCCUGCUCCCCGAGAGUCGCUAGGGGUGCUUCACUCUUGGGUGGGUGCAACAACCAGCUGUGCCAACCCCAUCUGGAUCCCUCUGGUCAUCAGGAAGAUCUGGAAAAAAGAAAGUCCUGAGGAAGCAGCCCAGAACAGCACAAGCAAUUGGGCAAGGAGUGGGAUAUCAGAGAGCCCUGCAGCAGGUGGCAUCCCAGCAGAGCUAGAAACGGCAAUGGGAGGGAAAGGGGGACAGACUCCUAUCUGCCGGACCAGAAGUGAUCAUCUCUUUUUGAGCCAGCUGGGGGCACUGCAGGUAUGGUAUAAACGGGGGGCCAUGGCCCGGGGCACAGGGUCCAGUUGUGACAUGAGGGGCUGGAAGGGAGAUGGUAGGUGUUGGCGUGCAUGUGCUUUGCUAAAACCAAGGAGAGCCGAGCCUUCAACUCUUCUUGCGGGUUUGCCAUCACGCGUGCAGCUCCAGCUGCAACGGGGUUAUCGAGUCUCCCCCAUGCCCAGGUCGGUGGGGACAGAAAGGGGGCUGCGUGACUAGCUCUGGCUCCGAGAACAAUGGCAGCAAGGAGCUGGCGAGGUCGCUCCCACCCUCUGGCUCCAUUUCACCGAAGUAUUUAGAUAGCAAUCUCAAGGCCGGAAUGUAAAUUGGAAGCAGAUCCGGGUGCUGAGGCUGGAGCCAGAUGUUAAAGGUAACCCGGCCGCAUGAAACGCGGAGCGGGGGAAUGAAUUGAUGGGCCUCGACAGUCCCCCCAGCCGCAGCGCACCCGGGCACAGCCAAAGUGGAGGAGGGAACAGUCUGCGGUUUCGUUGUUGCCUGCAGCUCAUUUCUAGCCCGUUCAGCUUGCGUUCCCUUGGGAGGGGGGGCAAGGAUGUGGGGCCUGUGGGAAGGGCUCGGUUUUUGCUGUACUGGAGUUGUGUAAAUGAAAGGGGCACGCUCAUGGGGAACGAGUGCAUCUACAGGGCGCGUAUCUAAGGGUGCCUGGGGGGGGUGCAUGUGGCGCCCGUGUGCCGCGUGUCCACAGGGCGCGGGGGUGAGUGGCUGGACGCGAUGGCAUGCUGGCAGCGGGGGGCUUGGGCAAAUGUGCCUGUGUAUUCAGAGGGGUGAUGCUCCACUUCUCUUCUCCAGGAAAGCAGUACCCGCCUGACCCCAGCCCUCGCCCUGUGCGUUCCCGCUGUCAGGCUGGAGGCUUUGGGGUUUGUUCCUGGCGUGCAGGAACGCCUCCUCCUUUCUUCCGUGCUCCUCCAGAUGCUUUAAGGGGCUGCUCGGGGUUUCCUUGCGUCCCCCAG
Gavialis gangeticus (Gharial) is the source of this 2817-nucleotide long non-coding RNA. RefSeq lists it as uncharacterized. Lineage: Eukaryota; Metazoa; Chordata; Crocodylia; Gavialidae. The transcript has 3 exons. The record is from RefSeq and is a predicted model, not a curated record.